This 852-nucleotide long non-coding RNA is filed under the name Marmota monax (woodchuck). The record is from RNAcentral. Lineage: Eukaryota; Metazoa; Chordata; Mammalia; Rodentia; Sciuridae.
CAUCCUGACACGUGACUGGGCGACUCCCGUUAAGGGUCUGAGGCUUCUGGCUGUGUCGGAAUUUUCCCGGCCCUUUCCUGAUGAGAGAACCCGUCCGUGUGGGGGUGUGACUGACCACUGACCCCGGGGGCCCAAUCACUGACCCUGAGCUUGGAGUGCAGUCCUCCCUCAACCUUCAUUGGAUGGAAUUAUCCCCUGAAUUUCUUGUUCCCCAAUAAAAGGCUACUCCCUGGCGUGUUCACUCUCUCUCUCCUGCUAGCCCUGAGUAAUCCUUGCUGCCCUGCUGGGCGGUUAGAGGUUGGAGCCAGAGAGGGGAGCCGUCUCGGACCUGGCAAUAGAAAUAAGGUAACUGAGUCUGUGUGUUUUAUUUCGAUCUCUUCUAACUAACUUUAUGCCAAGAACUCUAUACUGUACUUAGCACAAAGCAGGGUCUCAGUUAAAUAUGUCCUGAAAUAAACGGUCCAGAUGGGGGAAGACCUGGUGCAGUUCCCUUCAGGAUUCUGGCCAGACUAGGCUUCAACCCAUUUUUCUUGCUUUAGGGCCAAGACAACCCUCCCCAUCCCUCUUGCUCUCCUGACUAGUGGCCAAAGGCCAAAACCAACUCAGGCCAAAGACAAAUAUAAAUUUGUUUUUCUGACCUAUGACCCAAAUUAAUAUAUUUUGUUUUUCUCAAAGGUAUACCCCAUAUUCUAGAAGUUAAAGCUGACUACUUCAGAAGCCCUAACAAUCAAAGAGGACUUGGACCCUAGUGGAUCACAGGGGGCUCACUCUGGAUCCAGAAGUGAGGAGCUGGUGAGCUGUGUUCGGUCCACACCUUUAUGUGUGUAUUGGAGUGGGGGUGGGUACUCUGAG